Molecule: transfer RNA, 76 nt
Filed under: Kiritimatiellia bacterium
Lineage: Bacteria; Pseudomonadati; Kiritimatiellota; Kiritimatiellia
Description: tRNA-His
Rfam family: tRNA
About the family: Transfer RNA (tRNA) molecules are approximately 80 nucleotides in length. Their secondary structure includes four short double-helical elements and three loops (D, anti-codon, and T loops). Further hydrogen bonds mediate the characteristic L-shaped molecular structure. tRNAs have two regions of fundamental functional importance: the anti-codon, which is responsible for specific mRNA codon recognition, and the 3' end, to which the tRNAs corresponding amino acid is attached (by aminoacyl-tRNA synthetases). tRNAs cope with the degeneracy of the genetic code in two manners: having more than one tRNA (with a specific anti-codon) for a particular amino acid; and 'wobble' base-pairing, i.e. permitting non-standard base-pairing at the 3rd anti-codon position.
Source: RNAcentral
GUGGGUGUAGCUCAGUUGGCAGAGCGUCAGGUUGUGGUCCUGAAAGUCGCGGGUUCAAACCCCGUCACUCACCCCA